GCCCCCGGGCGCAGGUCCGGCUGGGGAGCGGAACGGCAUGGGAGGGCCGGCCGCAGCGGGUGACAGCCCCGUACGCGAACCCAGACCGGACGGCGCGACGCGGUCCCUGAGUAGGGCCGGGCACGUGAAACCCGGUCCGAACCUGGGUGGACCACCAUCCAAGCCUGAGUACUACCCUGUGACCGAUAGCGCACCAGUACCGUGAGGGAAAGGUGAAAAGCACCCCGGGAGGGGAGUGAAACAGUACCUGAAACCGUGCGCCCACGAGCAGUCGGAGCAACUUUCAGUUGUGACGGCGUGCCUUUUGUAGAAUGAGCCAGCGAGUCGCUGGCGCGGGGCGAGGUUAACCGAAAGGGAGCCGGAGCGAAAGCGAGCCUUAACAGGGCGACUUGAGUCCCGCGCCGCGGACGCGAAGCCGGGUGAGCUAUCCGUGGGCAGGCUGAAGCGGGGGUAAGACCCCGUGGAGGGCCGAACGCACGUCGGUUGAAAACGGCGGCGAUGACCUGCGGAUAGGGGUGAAAGGCCAAUCAAACCCGGAGAUAUCUCGUUCUCCCCGAAAUAGCUUUAGGGCUAGCGUCGCGCGUUCACCGCCGGAGGUAGAGCACCGGAUGGACGAGGGGGCUUCGCCGCCUACCGAAUCCAACCGAACUCCGAAUGCCGGCGGCCCAGAGCGCGGCAGUCAGAGCAUGUGGGCUAAGCUGUGUGCUCGAGAGGGAAACAGCCCGGACCGCCCGCUAAGGUCCCCAAGUUCCAGCCGAGUGGCAAAGGAUGUGCGUCCGCCCAGACAACCAGGAUGUUGGCUUAGAAGCAGCCAUGCAUUCAAAGAGUGCGUAACAGCUCACUGGUCGAGUGGACAUGCGCCGACAAUACACGGGGCUAAGCUGGACACCGAAGCGGCGGGAUUUUAAUUCAUUAGAAUCGGUAGGGGAGCUUCCCAUGGGCGGAGAAGCCGGAGGGCGACCGACGGUGGAGCGCAUGGGAGUGAGAAUGCUGGCAUGAGUAGCGAGAGACGAGAGAGUAACUCGUCCGCCGUGAACCCGAGGUUUCCUGGGCAAGGCUAAUCCUCCCAGGGUCAGUCGGGGGCUAAGGCGAGGCCGGGAGGCGUAGCCGACGCGCAGCAGGCAGACAUUCCUGCACCGCGCACGCGGCGCUACGACCGACGGGGCGACGGAUGGGGGUGGCUCGGCGGGGUUCUGGACGUCCCCGUGAUGGAGCGCGGCCCGCGGACCAGGGAAAUCCGGUCCGCAGAAGGGCGAGGCUCCGGACGAAGCGACUGAGCGAAGCGAGUGAGCCCGAGGUCCCUAGAAAAACCCCUAGGCAGGCGCGUGCGCGCCCGUACCGCAAACCGACACAGGUGGGUGGGUAGAACAUACCGAGGCGAUCGGGUCAACCAUGGUCAAGGAACUCGGCACAAUGGCCCCGUAACUUCGGGAGAAGGGGUGCCCGCGCGUACGUGAACCGGCUUGCCCGGGGAGCGGAGGCGGGCCGCAGUGGAGAGGCCCAAGCGACUGUUUACCAAAAACACAGGACUCUGCAGAAGCCGCAAGGCGACGUAUAGGGUCUGACGCCUGCCCGGUGCCGGAAGGUCACGCGGAGGAGUUAGCCGUUAAGGCGAAGCCCCGAAGCCAAGCCCCGGUAAACGGCGGCCGUAACUAUAACGGUCCUAAGGUAGCGAAAUUCCUUGUCGGGUAAGUUCCGACCUGCACGAAAGGCGCAACGACUUGGGCGCUGUCUCGACCAUGGACCCGGUGAAAUUGCACUGGUCGUGAAGAUGCGACUUACCCGCGGAAGGACGGAAAGACCCCGUGAACCUUCACUGCAGCUUGGCAUUGGCCGCUGGUCCCGCGUGUAGAGGAUAGGCAGGAGGCAUCGAUCCGGAGGCGCCAGCCCCCGGGGAGCCGCCCUUGGAAUACUGCCCUCGCGCGACCGGCGUCCUAACCCGAGGCCGUCAACCGGCUCGGGGACCGUGCCAGGCGGGCAGUUUGACUGGGGCGGUCGCCUCCUAAAGGGUAACGGAGGCGCGCGAAGGUCCGCUCGGGACGGUCGGCAACCGUCCUUUUGAAUGCAAGAGUACAAGCGGGCUUGACUGCGAGGCCCACAAGCCGAGCAGGUGCGAAAGCAGGCUCUAGUGAUCCGGCGGCCCCGAGUGGGUGGGCCGUCGCUCAACGGAUAAAAGGUACUCCGGGGAUAACAGGCUGAUCUUGCCCAAGAGUCCACAUCGACGGCAAGGUUUGGCACCUCGAUGUCGGCUCAUCGCAUCCUGGGGCUGGAGCAGGUCCCAAGGGUACGGCUGUUCGCCGUUUAAAGCGGUACGCGAGCUGGGUUCAGAACGUCGUGAGACAGUUCGGUCCCUAUC
Molecule: ribosomal RNA, 2356 nt
Filed under: human gut metagenome
Description: bacterial LSU rRNA
Rfam family: Bacterial large subunit ribosomal RNA
Source: RNAcentral